Molecule: ribosomal RNA, 468 nt
Filed under: uncultured bacterium
Lineage: Bacteria
Description: partial 16S ribosomal RNA
Rfam family: Bacterial small subunit ribosomal RNA
Source: RNAcentral
GACGAACGCUGGCGGCGUGCUUAACACAUGCAAGUCGAACGGAAAGACCCGGCGUUUGUGGGGUGCUCGAGUGGCGAAGGGGGGAGAAACACGUGAGGAAACUGCCCUUGACUUUGGGAGAACUUCAGGAAAAUGGGGCUAAUAUAGGAGAGGAGCUCCUGCUGCAUGGGGGGGGAUGGAAAGAUUCGGCGGUUGGGGAUGGAUUCGCGGCUUAUGAGCUUGUUGGUGGGGUAGGGGUGUACCAAGGCUUUGACGGGUAGCCGGCCUGAGAGCGUGAACGGCCUCCUUGGGACUGAGAUACGCAGCAGACUCGUAUGGGCGGCAGUAGUGGGGAAUCUUGCACAGUGGGCGCACGCCUGAUGCAGCAACGCCGCGUUCGUGAUGACCGCCUUCGGGUUGUAAACCGCUUUCGACUUUGCCGUAGCCUGAGUGACGGUACUGGGUCAAGAAGCACCGGCUAACUACGUG